Molecule: ribosomal RNA, 641 nt
Filed under: Isotoma viridis
Lineage: Eukaryota; Metazoa; Arthropoda; Collembola; Entomobryomorpha; Isotomidae
Description: eukaryotic LSU rRNA
Rfam family: Eukaryotic large subunit ribosomal RNA
Source: RNAcentral
CCAAGGAGUCUAACAUGUAUGCGAGUCAUUGGGAAUGUAAACCCAAAGGCAUAAUGAAAGUAAAGAAUUCGAUUGCGAAUUUGAGGAGAGAUCAUGGCUUUACUUGUUAUUCCGCAAGGUUUAAUGAGUAAGGUAUGCGCACCUCCUGGACGUCUAUACCUCUGAAGGUUGGGCGUACCAAGAGCAUACACGUUGGGACCCGAAAGAUGGUGAACUAUGCCUGGUCAGAACGAAGUCAGGGGAAACUCUGAUGGAGGUUCGUAGCGAUUCUGACGUGCAAAUCGAUCGUCGGAACUGGGUAUAGGGGCGAAAGACUAAUCGAACCAUCUAGUAGCUGGUUCCCUCCGAAGUUUCCCUCAGGAUAGCUGGCGCUUGAUUAAAUCAGUCUCAUCCGGUAAAGCGAAUGAUUAGAGGCCUUGGGGCCGAAACGACCUCAACCUAUUCUCAAACUUUAAAUGGGUGAGAAGUCAGGCUUGCUUAAUCGAAGCUCUGACAAUGGAUGGUGAGUGCCAAGUGGGCCACUCUUGGUAAGCAGGACUGGCGCUGUGGGAUGAACCAAACGUUGGGUUAAGGCGCCCGAAUCGACGCUCAUCAGAUCCCAUAAAAGGCGUUGGUUGCUUAAGACAGCAGGACGGUGGCCA